This is a long non-coding RNA of Lynx canadensis (Canada lynx), 1517 nucleotides long. RefSeq lists it as uncharacterized. NCBI's taxonomy places the organism in Eukaryota, Metazoa, Chordata, Mammalia, Carnivora, Felidae. The record is from RefSeq and is a predicted model, not a curated record. The transcript has 4 exons.
CAGGCUGAACCACGCAGGCGCCCCCAUAUGUAUUUUUGACUCAGUGACUCAGCAUGAUUUUCAUGGGCUUGGGUGGUCUGGCUACUUCCUGGUGGACCAGCUCCCCAUUUGAUGGGGGACACUGUUGUACAGACAGGACACCGUCUCAGGAUCAGCCGAGUGGGUGAAUGGCAGACGGCAGUCAGACGCCCUGGCUCCCACGUCCCCCUGCCUGAGCCCGCACGACACAGAAAACGCAAAGCAGAAGUGCAGACAGCACGCUGACCCGAGCCAGUCCCCGAAUGAGCACGGUCAUGGGAGACCCUCAUUCUCACGAGGAAGUGAUACGAAGCUUAUUUCCUUUUUGGCACAUCCCUCACAGUGACUUAGUGUUUUCCAGAACAUUCCAUGAUUGCUCAGGCACGAAUCUCUGCUCAGAAGGAAGGGGACAGCAGGGUUUGCAAAAGGUAGAAUGAGUGAAGAGGGAACACGUAGCAAAAGCCCCAAGGUGGCCGCGGGAAGGAAGACGAAACGGCAGCUAGACCUCAGACCCUCAGAUGGGGUCGCCGCGGCCUCUGCCGCGACUCUGUCUUUCCCAAGAGGGCCUGAGAAGAAGACCGCCGUCAUUCCCUGCACAGCCCUGCAGCGAGACCCAAGUUCACAUCCAGGCUCCAGCAGUCACUCGCUGUGUCGCCUUGGGUGAGACGCUGAACUUCUGUGUGUCUCAGUGUCCCCAUCUGUCAAAGGGGAAUAAUAAAUGCGCCUGCCUCGUAGUGCUGUUGAGAGGCCGACAGGAGAUCGUGCCUGUGAAGUGCAUCACACGGGCCCGGACACACGGGGGCUGCCCCAUACAUGUAAACUAUUAUGUGUCCAUUCGGUCAAGACCUGAAUUGUCUCCUAACCUCCAGGCACCGUUCUUAGUGGCCGGUAAACCGUGGUGAGGAAGACGAGAGGCUCCUGUUUCCCGGAGUUUCUGUUCCGGGGCAGGAGAGAGAUCUUAAACACACGAGCAGCAGAUGGAUGAGGAUGACAAGGUCUCACUCCUUGUGGAGCCCGGACCUUUCGGCGACCGGCGAGCAGGGUUCUGAGGCUGUCCCAGACGCCGUGGCAGAAAACUGCUUCGUUGGGGAAUGAUUGACCCAGAAAAGGCUGUGCGUAUCCGGUGUAUACAACACGCGUACCACUCGGUGUGCUUGGAGCUGAGACAGCCUCUGACAUCCUCUGGACUCGUGCUGUCUUCUGAGUCCCAAAGAACUGAAAGCGGAACCCCGUUCAAGAGCUUCCAGCACCGGCAAGACCUCAGCCUGUUGGGCGCAAUUACAGCCGCGGUAGGAAAGUGCGUCUCAGAAAAGUCACCCUCACCGUGUGCUACCCGGUGCCCUACGCGCCCCUCUCAUUUAAUCCCCUGCGCGGCGGCUUGUGGUUACCACCCCAUUUUACAGAUAAGACCGUGGGAGCUCAGAGAUCGCAACUAAGCCGGUGAGCGGGAAAACCAGAAACCAAACCCAGGUCUUUGGGACUCCAGGACCCCAACUCGC